GAUGAACGCUGGCGGCGUGCCUAAUACAUGCAAGUCGAGCGACCACACAAUGAGCUUUCUCUCCUGCCGUUAGCGACUGACGGGUGAGUAACACGUACAUCACCUUCUUCUUUUUCUUGGAUGACUUCGUAAAACCACAUCUACUACUACCUCAUAUAUUCAACCGCUUGAUUCAAUAGUUCUUCACGCUUUUCCUGUCUCUUUUAGAUGAUUCCGCGCCGCAUUAGCUAGUUGGUAAGGUAACGGCUUACCAAGGCGACGAUGCGUAUCUGGCCUGAGAGGGUGAUCAGCCACACUGGAACUGAGACACGGUCCAGACUCCUACGGGAGGCAGCAGUGGGGAAUAUUCGGCAAUGGGCGAAAGCCUGACGGAGCCACACCGCGUGAGUGAAGAAGGCCUUCGGGUCGUAAAACUCUGUUAUUAGGAAAGAACAAAAGUAUAAGAAAACAUGGAUGUUUUGACGGUACCUAAACAAAAAGCAACGGCUAACUUCGUG
Molecule: ribosomal RNA, 497 nt
Filed under: uncultured bacterium
Lineage: Bacteria
Description: partial 16S ribosomal RNA
Rfam family: Bacterial small subunit ribosomal RNA
Source: RNAcentral